RNA transcript from Argentina anserina (silverweed cinquefoil), 1702 nucleotides. RefSeq lists it as uncharacterized. The record is from RefSeq and is a predicted model, not a curated record. NCBI's taxonomy places the organism in Eukaryota, Viridiplantae, Streptophyta, Magnoliopsida, Rosales, Rosaceae. The transcript is spliced from 10 exons.
GAGUAGAAAAGACAUAAACAUAGAGAAGAAGCAAAACCCAAACCAUAAACACCCAUAAAGCUCAGCUCUUUAAAGCAUUUGAAGACUCUGAGCUACUAAUCUCUGGUACCCUUCAAUCCUUGGUCAAAAGAUGAGGACUUUUCUUUAGUUUUUAGCUUAGUUUUCUUUGCAUAAUUGUGGUUGUUAUUCCUCUGCGGUCUGUGUUUGAUUGGUGGGUUCUUCAUCUCUCUGGAAUAAAGCAGAAGGAAGUUCUGCUUCCCUUUGAAUUCUUUGUCAAGAGUUGAAGAGUUUAAUCCUACUUGGGAGUAUGGUGGGAUUUGCAUAUCCUCUUGGUUUUAUGUCCACCAGUGGCUAUGUCAGCCCAACCAAAGAGUUUCACUGGCUGGCUUCUGCCCUUUUUGGCAUGCUUCUCUGCAAAAUUGUGUACAGAUUAACAGGUCUUAUUAGCCUUCAAAGCUUCAAGGGAUAUCAGAUACUGAGCAAUGCAGAGAAAGUUGAAUGGAACAACCGGGGGUUCUCAACUGUUCAUGCUAUUGGUGUAGCGGUUGCAUCUUUUUACCUUAUACUGUUAUCAGAUACAUUUCAUGAGGGCCAUAGUGAUGAGCUGAUCAUUAGUAGAAGAUCUACUUUGUCAGAUACAACAUUGGGGAUCUCCAUUGGUUAUUUUCUAUCAGACAUAGCAAUGAUUUUUUGGCAUUUUCCUGCUUUAGGUGGACUGGAGUAUGUUUUGCACCAUGGUCUAUCUAUGUUCUCAAUCUUCCUUUCUCUUAUAAGUGGUGAAGGGCAGAUUUACAUACUAAUGGUUCUAUUCUCUGAGAUCACGACUCCUUUCGUAAACCUAAGAUGGUACUUGGACAUUGCUGGUAAGAAGAACUCCAACCUGUACGUCUGCAAUGGUGUAGCAUUGUUCCUGGGGUGGCUGGUUGCAAGGAUUCUUUUGUUCAUUUACUUUUUCGUCCAUAUGUUUCUCCAUUUUGAUCAAGUCAAGACAAUUUUCCCGUUGGGAUUCUACAGCUUGCUCUCGAUACCUCCUGUGUUGGCAAUUAUGAAUCUGUUUUGGUUUUGGAAGAUUGCUAAAGGUUUGAUCAAAACUGUUUCAAAGGCCAAACACAAGACCGUACACAGCCAGUGAUCUAGCUAGUAAUUUAAAGAUGGGAAAUUGACAGUGUACAUUCUCAGUUACUUAGUUCAUUCGAGUGAUAUUUGAAUCGGAUGGUACAUAGAUGAGGAAAAUUCACCAACGGUCCCUGAAUUCUUGCGACAUGAUCAGUCCGUUGGUAAAUUUUCCGGUUGAGAGAUUUGGUUUUGCAACUCCAUAGGGACAAAAAGGGAAUGCAUGGAUGUGAGUUUUCCAGGAGGAGAAAAUAAACAUAGAUGUUGAAUCUAUGAAGAAUUCUUAUAUGAGGUGUUCACAUUUGAUUUAUGCCUUUAUGGACUUGGAAACGGGAAAAAACGAGUCUUGAAGAUUUUGAGUUGAAGAGGAGUCGGCUAUUGCAAAGUCAAAAGAGAAAUUUGGAAAUUAAAUACAGUAUCCGAGUGAAAGUAGUGGAAGAAGGAACAUGUCAACAUGGGGAAGAAGGAACAUUACCCUUUGAUAGUUUGAUUUGUAUAAACGUGGUUGUAUCGUAGGUUUUUUUAUUUUUUUACCCUGUUUGUUAAGGAAUAAAAUCAACAAUGCAUGACCUAUCAAAGAAUCAAAUAU